GACGAACGCUGGCGGCGUGCCUAAUACAUGCAAGUCGAACGAGAGCGACCGGUGCUUGCACUGGUCAAUCUAGUGGCGAACGGGUGAGUAACACGUGGGUAACCUGCCCAUCAGAGGGGGAUAACAUCCGGAAACGGAUGCUAAAACCGCAUAGGUCUUCGAACCGCAUGGUUUGAAGAGGAAAAGAGGCGCAAGCUUCUGCUGAUGGAUGGACCCGCGGUGCAUUAGCUAGUCGGUGAGGUAACGGCUCACCAAGGCCGUGAUGCAUAGCCGACCUGAGAGGGUGAUCGGCCACAUUGGGACUGAGACACGGCCCAAACUCCUACGGGAGGCAGCAGUAGGGAAUCUUCCGCAAUGGACGCAAGUCUGACGGAGCAACGCCGCGUGAGUGAAGAAGGUUUUCGGAUCGUAAAACUCUGUUGUUAGAGAAGAACAAGUGCUAGAGUAACUGUUAGCGCCUUGACGGUAUCUAACCAGAAAGCCACGGCUAACUACGUG
RNAcentral lists this ribosomal RNA (498 nucleotides) under uncultured bacterium. RNAcentral's name for it is "partial 16S ribosomal RNA". It matches the Rfam family "Bacterial small subunit ribosomal RNA", at positions 28 to 507 of the family's 1533-position model. The record is from RNAcentral.